CACAGCUGCUGCGAACUGGAAGGCUUGUGAGAGUCAUUUCCUCUCAGGUCUGUUUAUAAUAGUGAUGUCCCAGGUCUGCAUUCUUUUGGCUUCCAUUUUGACCUUUUUUUAAAAAUCCAGGAUCUUUUCAGCCCGUUCUAGACUUCAGGACAUAAGAGCAACAACAAUAAACGUGUGGACACAGGUGGAAUAAUCAGCCUGGUGCUCACGACUCACAUGUCAAAACUCCAAAGACCAAACUAAAUAGCGCUUGACACCGCAGUAAGUAGUUCACAGUUCUUGUUGUUCAUCCAGACAACAACAUUUCUUUGCUCUAUCUAAGGUUAUCUUUCUCUGAGUUUGUUGCUUCAGUGAUCCGGCAAGAUUUCAUUGUUUGUUUAUAUCAAAGCUGGAACAAGGCUGCAAAGAUCACUGACCAAUCACCUCAGCUCAUUGGAUGUGAAUAAUGACCGAUUUACACUCAAAAUCCUGUCUACUGUAUCUGUAAGCUGAAAUCUGAAACAUUAAACUGGUUCAGUCUCGUAUGGAGUAUGGUGUCGAAGCCGUGUCGUAAAGGAACAGUUGCGGUGUUGCCUUGACUGCUUUGCAAGAAAAGGAGAUCUGUUACACCACGUACCGGUCCCUAGGUCCCAUACCGGUCAAUAGGUCAUUAGGUACCGGGCCACAGUGAAAUACAGUGGGAAGAAAUGUACUUCUGUUUUACCAAUAAUAUAUAAUAUAAGUCUAGAAGAUGUUUUAUUAUAAAAAUACAAUAACAAUGACGCAGUAUUACCGGUCCGCAGUAAUAGCUGAUACCCGCCGACUGGUCCUUCGUACAAAAAAAA
This is a long non-coding RNA of Cynoglossus semilaevis (tongue sole), 824 nucleotides long. RefSeq lists it as uncharacterized. The transcript is spliced from 2 exons. Lineage: Eukaryota; Metazoa; Chordata; Actinopteri; Pleuronectiformes; Cynoglossidae. The record is from RefSeq and is a predicted model, not a curated record.